CCUACGGGCGGCUGCAGUGGGGAAUAUUGGACAAUGGGGGGAACCCUGAUCCAGCCAUGCCGCGUGUGUGAAGAAGGCCCUCGGGUUGUAAAGCACUUUCAGUGAGGAAGAACGCCUGGUGGUUAAUACCCAUCAGGAAAGACAUCACUCACAGAAGAAGCACCGGCUAACUCCGUGCCAGCAGCCGCGGUAAUACGGAGGGUGCGAGCGUUAAUCGGAAUUACUGGGCGUAAAGCGCGCGUAGGUGGCUUGAUAAGCCGGUUGUGAAAGCCCCGGGCUCAACCUGGGAACGGCAUCCGGAACUGUCAAGCUAGAGUGCAGGAGAGGAAGGUAGAAUUCCCGGUGUAGCGGUGAAAUGCGUAGAGAUCGGGAGGAAUACUAGUGGCGAAGGCGGCCUUCUGGACUGACACUGACACUGAGGUGCGAAAGCGUGGGUAGCAAACAGGAUUAGAUACCCUAGUAGUC
Molecule: ribosomal RNA, 465 nt
Filed under: Vreelandella stevensii
Lineage: Bacteria; Pseudomonadati; Pseudomonadota; Gammaproteobacteria; Oceanospirillales; Halomonadaceae
Description: partial 16S ribosomal RNA
Rfam family: Bacterial small subunit ribosomal RNA
Source: RNAcentral